GUGACUGCGUACCUUUUGUAUAAUGGGUCAGCGACUUAUUUUCAGUGGCGAGCUUAACCGAAUAGGGGAGGCGUAGCGAAAGCGAGUCUUAAUAGGGCGUCUAGUCGCUGGGAAUAGACCCGAAACCGGGCGAUCUAUCCAUGGGCAGGUUGAAGGUUAGGUAACACUGACUGGAGGACCGAACCGACUACCGUUGAAAAGUUAGCGGAUGACCUGUGGAUCGGAGUGAAAGGCUAAUCAAGCUCGGAGAUAGCUGGUUCUCCUCGAAAGCUAUUUAGGUAGCGCCUCAUGUAUCACUGUAGGGGGUAGAGCACUGUUUCGGCUAGGGGGUCAUCCCGACUUACCAAACCGAUGCAAACUCCGAAUACCUACAAGUGCCGAGCAUGGGAGACACACGGCGGGUGCUAACGUCCGUCGUGAAAAGGGAAACAACCCAGACCGUCAGCUAAGGUCCCAAAGUUAUGGUUAAGUGGGAAACGAUGUGGGAAGGCUUAGACAGCUAGGAGGUUGGCUUAGAAGCAGCCACCCUUUAAAGAAAGCGUAAUAGCUCACUAGUCGAGUCGG
This 564-nucleotide ribosomal RNA is filed under the name Mesorhizobium sp. Its description in RNAcentral is "partial 23S ribosomal RNA". It matches the Rfam family "Bacterial large subunit ribosomal RNA", at positions 593 to 1157 of the family's 2925-position model. Lineage: Bacteria; Pseudomonadati; Pseudomonadota; Alphaproteobacteria; Hyphomicrobiales; Phyllobacteriaceae. The record is from RNAcentral.